RNAcentral lists this ribosomal RNA (553 nucleotides) under Meyerozyma guilliermondii. RNAcentral describes it as "LSU rRNA". It matches the Rfam family "Eukaryotic large subunit ribosomal RNA", at positions 87 to 657 of the family's 3401-position model. Lineage: Eukaryota; Fungi; Ascomycota; Pichiomycetes; Serinales; Debaryomycetaceae. The record is from RNAcentral.
CGGCGAGUGAGCGGCAAAAGCUCAAAUUUGAAAUCUGGCGCCUUCGGUGUCCGAGUUGUAAUUUGAAGAUUGUAACCUUGGGGUUGGCUCUUGUCUAUGUUUCUUGGAACAGGACGUCACAGAGGGUGAGAAUCCCGUGCGAUGAGAUGCCCAAUCCUAUGUAAGGUGCUUUCGAAGAGUCGAGUUGUUUGGGAAUGCAGCUCUAAGUGGGUGGUAAAUUCCAUCUAAAGCUAAAUAUUGGCGAGAGACCGAUAGCGAACAAGUACAGUGAUGGAAAGAUGAAAAGAACUUUGAAAAGAGAGUGAAAAAGUACGUGAAAUUGUUGAAAGGGAAGGGUUUGAGAUCAGACUCGAUAUUUUGUGAGCCUUGCCUUCGUGGCGGGGUGACCCGCAGCUUAUCGGGCCAGCAUCGGUUUGGGCGGUAGGAUAAUGGCGUAGGAAUGUGACUUUACUUCGGUGAAGUGUUAUAGCCUGCGUUGAUGCUGCCUGCCUAGACCGAGGACUGCGAUUUUAUCAAGGAUGCUGGCAUAAUGAUCCCAAACCGCCCGUCUUGA